GUUGGUUCUCCCGAUGUCCCUGACACUAGCAGGUUUAAUUCAAAGUAUAGAAGGCGACCUCCGUAGGUGUGUGGUCAUUGUGGAAAGAACGGAAGAGACCAUUUAGGUCACUCUGCAUGUUAGCGAAGUUGAAAACCAAGCCAGUAAGCAGUGAGUGAUUUGAUGAAGCAGUGCUUCAGGUGUCUGCCUCUUUGAGUUCGCUGAAAAGUUGGAUCUUACAUAUUUAGCACCUGAAACAACCGAAGGCUUACGGAGGACACUGACAGACUGGGGCGAGGAGGGUCUCUGCCUCCCCUGAAGACCUGGACCACCCUCCACACCUGGGCAAGUGCUGCAGCGGUGCCUGCUAUUAGAGUUAAGCAGCAAGGGCAGCGACACCUGGGAUGUAAAAAAAAAAUAAUUAUAAAUAAAUAAACACUAGCAAACUACCUGUUAGUUUCUACCUGUGAGGACCUAAGAAGACUAAACAAACAGCUCCUUAAUUUCUGGACUUUCCCUUGGAUCACAGAAGGAGACCCUGGGAAUUUUCUGAUUCCUUCUUUCCUUUUUUUCUUUUCUUUUUUUUUUCGGUCUUAAUGGAGAUCUUGAACUGCAGAGCCGCCGUGUCAGAACUCAGAUGGUUAACAUUCACUUCUUGCUGUUUUAUUGCAUAUUACUGUGCGCGCCUGAGCAGCGGGAGCAGAUUCGGGCAAUUACAAUCAAGUCAGGGCACACGCCGCGGCGGAGCAACACGAGCAUGAUGAGGAUACUGAUGAGGCACUUAUCGAAAACCCCACAUCAUCCACACUCAUCAGCCACAACAUGUCACCCCAAAUGAGGCAUCAGCUGCCUUCAAAAGGCUCAUUGCACAGUGUUUACCGCUUCCCUCGGACCCACUUUUGAUUUUACGCAGACAUGUUGAACUGCAAGAUUCCACUCGCGACGCCAGAAUUCGUCAAGAGGCCUGCAUUGUUGUUUCGCACUGAGGCAUAGGACCGGCUACAGGCCAUUGUUUCUCCAGCUCAAGUGGGCCUGUCUGGUUCGUGUUGGAAGAAUGAGGGUGACAUGCGUGAGUUCCCGAGUAUAAAAGAACUACUGGUUCUAGGAAGGAACAGGAGGUUAGCCACUAAUGCAGAGUAAAUAAACAUUUUUCACCACCUCUUGCUCCAUGUGAUUUUUAAAGGUCAAGAGCUGCCAUUACAGUAUUUUAAAAGCUUCAAAUUACAUUUAAAGAAUGUA
RNAcentral lists this long non-coding RNA (1218 nucleotides) under Homo sapiens (human). RNAcentral's name for it is "HSALNT0376405". The record is from RNAcentral. Lineage: Eukaryota; Metazoa; Chordata; Mammalia; Primates; Hominidae.